RNAcentral lists this ribosomal RNA (408 nucleotides) under uncultured bacterium. Its description in RNAcentral is "partial 16S ribosomal RNA". It matches the Rfam family "Bacterial small subunit ribosomal RNA", at positions 30 to 526 of the family's 1533-position model. The record is from RNAcentral.
ACUGAACGCUGGCGGCGUGCCUAAUACAUGCAAGUCGAACGGAGUGGCGCACGGGUGAGUAAUGUAUAGCUAAUCUGCCCUACACUAGAGGACAACAGUUGGAAACGGCUGCUAAUACUCUAUAGUGUAGGAUGAGGCUAUAUUGUAUCAGCUAGUUGGUGAGGUAAUGUCUCACAAAGGCUAUGACGCAUAACUGGUCUGAUAGGAUGAUCAGUAACACUGGAACGGAGACACGGGCAAGACUCCUACGGGAGUCAGCAGUAGGGAGUAUGGCUCAAUGGGGGAGACCCUGAAGCAGCUUCGCCGCGUGGAGGAUGACACUUUGCGGAGCGUAAACUCCUUUUGUUAGGGAAGCGGUACCUAACGAAUAAGCCCCGGCUAACUCCGUGCCAGCAGCCGCGGUAAUUC